CUUGAUUCUUAAUUAAUGAAACCUUCCAAAUCAACAUAUAUAUUGUGUUAAAAUACAAAACAUUAUUUGACAACAAAUUUCAAUAAUAUGGUUUUGCUUUUGUAAAUAAAUCGAUAAUUAAAUGGAUAAUUUUUUAUCGAAUGCAAAAAUUUAUGCCAUUUAAAAUAACAUGAACUGAUUGAUUCAAUAACUCUUAUGAUUUAAUAAAAAGUUAAUUCUUUACAGUUUGAUUAUUUUGACAAUUAAAUAAAUAAUUUACUUUUAAACUAUUUUUUUUUAUAAUUAACAUUUUGAACUAGAUCAAUUUAUGAAUUGUUUACUUUAGUUCAAAAUGUUAAUUAUA
RNAcentral lists this unclassified non-coding RNA (343 nucleotides) under Hevea brasiliensis (rubber tree). Lineage: Eukaryota; Viridiplantae; Streptophyta; Magnoliopsida; Malpighiales; Euphorbiaceae. The record is from RNAcentral.